This 85-nucleotide transfer RNA is filed under the name Oceanobacillus sp. J11TS1. Its description in RNAcentral is "tRNA-Leu". It matches the Rfam family "tRNA". From Rfam's summary of the family: Transfer RNA (tRNA) molecules are approximately 80 nucleotides in length. Their secondary structure includes four short double-helical elements and three loops (D, anti-codon, and T loops). Further hydrogen bonds mediate the characteristic L-shaped molecular structure. tRNAs have two regions of fundamental functional importance: the anti-codon, which is responsible for specific mRNA codon recognition, and the 3' end, to which the tRNAs corresponding amino acid is attached (by aminoacyl-tRNA synthetases). tRNAs cope with the degeneracy of the genetic code in two manners: having more than one tRNA (with a specific anti-codon) for a particular amino acid; and 'wobble' base-pairing, i.e. permitting non-standard base-pairing at the 3rd anti-codon position. The record is from RNAcentral. Lineage: Bacteria; Bacillati; Bacillota; Bacilli; Caryophanales; Bacillaceae.
GCGGGUGUGGCGGAAUUGGCAGACGCGCUAGACUUAGGAUCUAGUGCCUCCGGGCGUGGGGGUUCAAGUCCCUCCACCCGCACCA